CACAGCCGCGGUAAUACGAAGGGUGCAAGCGUUACUCGGAAUUACUGGGCGUAAAGCGUGCGUAGGUGGUGGUUUAAGUCCGUUGUGAAAGCCCUGGGCUCAACCUGGGAAUUGCAGUGGAUACUGGGUCACUAGAGUGUGGUAGAGGAUAGUGGAAUUUCCGGUGUAGCAGUGAAAUGCGUAGAGAUCGGAAGGAACAUCUGUGGCGAAGGCGACUAUCUGGGCCAACACUGACACUGAGGCACGAAAGCGUGGGGAGCAAACAGGAUUAGAUACCCGAGUAGUCCCUGUCUCUUAUACA
This 301-nucleotide ribosomal RNA is filed under the name uncultured bacterium. Its description in RNAcentral is "partial 16S ribosomal RNA". It matches the Rfam family "Bacterial small subunit ribosomal RNA", at positions 510 to 808 of the family's 1533-position model. The record is from RNAcentral.